This 729-nucleotide ribosomal RNA is filed under the name Linnemannia elongata. RNAcentral's name for it is "eukaryotic LSU rRNA". It matches the Rfam family "Eukaryotic large subunit ribosomal RNA", at positions 38 to 618 of the family's 3401-position model. Lineage: Eukaryota; Fungi; Mortierellomycota; Mortierellomycetes; Mortierellales; Mortierellaceae. The record is from RNAcentral.
GCAUAUCAAUAAGCGGAGGAAAAGAAACUAACAAGGAUUCCCCUAGUAACGGCGAGUGAAGCGGGAUGAGCUCAAAUUUAAAAUCUGGCUGGUUUACUAGUCCGAAUUGUAGUUUAUAGAAGCGUUUUCGGUGGCAGCCUGGGUAUAAAUCCUUUGGAAUAGGGUAUCAUAGAGGGUGAGAAUCCCGUCUUUGACUCAGUGCAUGCUACUAUGUGAUACGUUUUCAAAGAGUCGAGUUGUUUGGGAAUGCAGCUCAAAAUGGGUGGUAAAUUUCAUCUAAAGCUAAAUAUUGGCGAGAGACCGAUAGCGAACAAGUACCGUGAGGGAAAGAUGAAAAGAACUUUGAAAAGAGAGUUAAACAGUGCGUGAAAUUGUUGAAAGGGAAACGUUUGACACCAGUUAUGCGGGUGGAAAAUCAGUCUUUUGCAAUGGGGAGUUGUGGGCGUUCAGACCGCAAGGCUGGCGUUUGCUUCAUCUUUGUUGUAAGUGAUGCACUUUUUCAUUUGCAGGUCAACAUCAGUUUGCUUUGCUGGACAAAACCCCAAGGGAAGGUGGCAGCUUAGGCUGUGUUAUAGCCCUGGGGCGAUACAGUGGAGUGGACUGAGGUUUCGCAGUGUGUGCUCUCGGGCAAGGCUGACUGGGUGCUAUGGGAUCGUUCGGCGUACAAUGCAUGCAUUGUGCGUCGUGUCUUUUUCAUACUCGCUCAACUCGGCUCUUCCACACUUAGGA